AUCCAAAGGUAGAAAAAUUGUUCUCUUAUGAUACAUCCAGUGAAGACUCUACAAGUCAUCAGACAUAUGAAGCAGAGGAGCACAGUCAUGUCUGCAAUUCGUAAAGAAGCCCCAAAAAGGGAAAAGCAUCUCUCCAAAAGAGGGAAGACUGAAUUGGAUGAUUCGAGUCCAGGCGGGGACCCUGGCGGUCCGAUCCUUGGCUGCAGAAGCUAGCUCUUGGGACAUGGAAUGUCACCUCUCUGGCAGGGAAGGAGCCCGAGCUGGUGUGUGAGGCAGAGAAUUUCCGACUGGAUAUAGUCGGACUUGCCUCCACACACAGCCUGGGUUCUGGUACCAGUUCUCUCGAGAGGGGUUGGACUCUCUUCCACUCUGGAGUUGCUCACGGUGAGAGGCGCAGAGCAGGUGUGGGCAUACUCAUUGCCCCCCGCCUCAGUGCCUGUACAUUGGGGUUCACACCGGUAGACGAGAGGGUUGCCUCCCUCCGCCUUCGGGUGGGUGGACGGGUCCUGACUGUUGUUUGUGCAUAUGCAACAAACAGCA
Molecule: long non-coding RNA, 540 nt
Organism: Hippocampus zosterae (dwarf seahorse)
Lineage: Eukaryota; Metazoa; Chordata; Actinopteri; Syngnathiformes; Syngnathidae
Exons: 3
Source: RefSeq, a predicted model, not a curated record